Molecule: ribosomal RNA, 450 nt
Filed under: uncultured soil bacterium
Lineage: Bacteria
Description: bacterial SSU rRNA
Rfam family: Bacterial small subunit ribosomal RNA
Source: RNAcentral
GAAUUCGAUUAACGCGAAGAACCUUACCCAGGCUCGAACGGUGAUGGACAUCCGGCGAAAGCCGGCUCCCGCAAGGGUCAUCAUCGAGGUGCUGCAUGGCUGUCGUCAGCUCGUGUCGUGAGAUGUUGGGUUAAGUCCCGCAACGAGCGCAACCCUCGUCCGCUGUUGCCAUCAGGUUAAGCUGGGCACUCUGCGGAGACUGCCGGUGAUAAACCGGAGGAAGGUGGGGAUGACGUCAAGUCAGCAUGGCCUUUAUGUCUGGGGCUACACACGUGCUACAAUGGCCGGUACAAACCGUCGCGAUCUCGCGAGAGGGAGCUAAUCGGAGAAAACCGGUCUCAGUUCGGAUUGCAGGCUGCAACACGCCUGCAUGAAGUUGGAAUCGCUAGUAAUCGCGGAUCAGCACGCCGCGGUGAAUACGUUCCCGGGCCUUGUCACACCGAAUCACUA